Bison bison bison is the source of this 107-nucleotide small nuclear RNA. NCBI's taxonomy places the organism in Eukaryota, Metazoa, Chordata, Mammalia, Artiodactyla, Bovidae. The record is from Ensembl.
GAGCUCGCUUCUGUAGCACAUAUAGUAAAAUUGGAACAAUACAGAGAAGAUUAGCAUGGCCUCCACCCAAGGAUAACAGGCGAAUUCGUUAAGCAUUCCAUAUUUUU